CUUCUGAGGGAUAUCAUUUGCCUUGUAUCAUUUGCAUGGAAUCUAAGGCAAGAAAGCAUGGUGAGGAAGAAUCAAAUCACGAUGCUGUUUUCUGGCACAGAGUCUGUGAGACACUGAAUGGCAGAGAUCCCCCUGCAAGAGUUUGGGGGAACAGAGCUGCCUACAUGGCCCUCAGUGCGCUCACAGUGCUUGCAGCAGGAUGGUAAAACAACAUCUUUUAUCCAGCCCAAACACCAACCCUGUCCAUGUUCUUAAGUCAUGCUGUUUUCUCAUUGUCUUGCUGUUCCCUUGAAUUUUGUAUUCUUUGCUGCACAGCAGCUCAAUUUCAAUAGAAAAAGAAUAAAAAGUGUGCUAAUGUCCACUAACAGAAAAAGAGUAAGAAAAAUAAGAUUUUGUUUUCAGUUCCACAUAUUUACAUCUCUUAUAACUUUACUGAUUGCUAAGUCUAAACUAAUGUCACAUAGUCUGAUUUAACAAACUUAGCAGUAUGAAUAGUUUAGCCAUUGUCAGCAAGACGAAUUGUUAACCUACUUACAUGUUCAAGUACUUUUCUAGUUAUGUGACAGUACUUAGCACAAUGAAGAAAUAAAUCCUUAAAUAUUUUUCUGUCAUUAAUAGAAGUUUAUCAAUUUGCAGAAAAAUAUUUUUUGAGGGAAUACAAAUUUUAAUGUAGGCUAAAGCUCCUUAACACAUUUAUUAAAUCUCUUUUCUUCAAAGACUCAUGUAAUGCUGAUGGGAGGCCUGAGAAUUUGCAGUAAAAGAACCUGUCACUGACUACAAGCUGGAAACCAAUUCCCAGACAGAACAAAAUAUUUUUUCCUUAGGAAAUUUGCUCAGUGUAGUAGUGAACAACAUUACUAGGGCCACUGGGGAUGCCCACGCAUUUAUUUUCUGACUCAGUAACCCAUUUUCCCAGACCAUUAUGGGAACCAGGAGUUCUUGUUUUCUGGAGAGAGUGAGAACCAUACUACACAACACUGGUUAAUGUUUGCUUUCCUAAGUCUCUUAAUUGAAAUAAAAUGUUAUUUCUGUGCUGUUUAUAUUGCAAAAAGAUACAGCUUGGAGAUAAGCAAAUUUAAAGGAAAGGUUGCAUGCUGGAUAAAGGCAGGAUGCAGAAGAUCAGUACUCUUUGGAUUUGUUGUUACUUGGCAUAAACUCACUGUGUGGCCUUGCACGGAUCUCCUAUCCCCGCAGUUAACCCCCUCCCACCUACUCACUUCAGCAAGGCUUCGUGGAUCGAGGAGAAGUAUUUAAGGGCUGCUACCAUGUUUACUUCCUGCAGUGAAAAACAGAUCACUCUUGAUAACUAUUCACUUGAAGAAAACCCCUGUAAACUGUGUGUUCUAAAAAUCAUUUGGGUUAAUGAUUACUGUAUUUUGACUUCUCUGUUCUAACAAUAAAUGUCUGUGAUUAAGUA
RNAcentral lists this long non-coding RNA (1417 nucleotides) under Numida meleagris (helmeted guineafowl). Its description in RNAcentral is "lncRNA (ENSNMEG00000006826.1)". The record is from RNAcentral. Lineage: Eukaryota; Metazoa; Chordata; Aves; Galliformes; Numididae.